Molecule: RNA transcript, 840 nt
Organism: Rhodamnia argentea
Lineage: Eukaryota; Viridiplantae; Streptophyta; Magnoliopsida; Myrtales; Myrtaceae
Gene name: protein ELF4-LIKE 3
Exons: 3
Source: RefSeq, a predicted model, not a curated record
AUGAGCUUUCUUUUUGGGGGGGCAAAGUCUUCGUCUUUUUGCCUUACUUUUUGGAAACUCAUGCUUCUGCACUUGCGAUUGCAAAAGCUUUUUGAAUUUUUGAACAUCUUUGGAUCAUAUGAGUUGGGGUCUUUCUGCUUCUCUUUUUGAAUUGCAAGCAAAGUCGGCCGUAUAAUUUAAUGCGCUUUCUCUGUCCUUGUUCUCUUAAAAUUUCUUCUUUUCAUCAUUUUGGCCUCUUUACAUUUGUUUGAAUCUAGUUCGUGGAAAUAAACAAGUAAAUAAAGAUCGGUAGUACCGUCAGUGAAAAUGCCUUAUCUUUUCUGCACCAUUGACUGGGGCUCGGAGCUUCGUCCUUUCUAAGAUUCUUGUUUCUUACGCUGCUGAUCUUUAAGGUCUGGAUCUGAUCACACGUAAAAUCGGACCUGAAAAUCGAUUCAAUUUCAAAUGGAGGGUGACACAUUCUCAGGGCUUGGCAAUGGGGCGCAGAUUGAUGGCAGGGUGUUGCAGACAUUCCAGACGAGCUUUGUGCAGGUCCAGAACAUAUUGGACCAGAACAGGCUUCUCAUCAAUGAGAUAAACCAGAAUCAUGAGUCCAAGAUCCCGGACAACCUGAGCCGCAACGUCGGCCUCAUCCGAGAGCUCAACAACAACAUCAAACGGGUCGUCGACCUCUACGCUGAUCUCUCCGGUAACUUCUCCAAGAUCAUGGAUGCUUCCUCUGAGGACAAUUCCUCUGGUAGCAGGACAGGGCACAAGAGAAUUAGGCCUGCAUAGGGGAAAAAAAAUGAAAUUUUUGUAAUCAUUUCUCAGGUAGAGUUUGUGGAGAAUGUGAUUUUCUUC